UGAUCCAAGUCAAUGUAUAAAUGUACAUCAAUGUGUAAUAAGUGUAUCUCUCUCUGUGUGUGUUCGAUGUUUGAGUUGAAGACGGAGCAAAAGAUAUAUUAGAGAGCUUGGAAUGAGAUAGGUCAAACUUCUAAGGCAGUUCUUGUAAUAUUCACACACGUAUCUAUAGAGAUUGUCCUAAGAAAUAAUACUUGUCUUAAAUCGAUGAAAAAUUAAUUAUUAUUUGUGGUGGUGUU
This 236-nucleotide long non-coding RNA is filed under the name Capsella grandiflora. RNAcentral describes it as "long non-coding RNA (CGRA_LNC000223)". The record is from RNAcentral. Lineage: Eukaryota; Viridiplantae; Streptophyta; Magnoliopsida; Brassicales; Brassicaceae.